This 490-nucleotide ribosomal RNA is filed under the name uncultured bacterium. RNAcentral describes it as "partial 16S ribosomal RNA". It matches the Rfam family "Bacterial small subunit ribosomal RNA", at positions 28 to 505 of the family's 1533-position model. The record is from RNAcentral.
GAUGAACGCUAGCUACAGGCUUAACACAUGCAAGUCGAGGGGAAACGACAUCGAAAGCUUGCUUUUGAUGGGCGUCGACCGGCGCACGGGUGAGUAACGCGUAUCCAACCUGCCCAUCACUUGGGAAUAACCUUGCGAAAGUAAGACUAAUACCCAAUGAUAUCCCACGAAGGCAUCGGAAUGGGAUUAAAGAUUUAUCGGUGAUGGAUGGGGAUGCGUCUGAUUAGCUUGUUGGCGGGGUAACGGCCCACCAAGGCAACGAUCAGUAGGGGUUCUGAGAGGAAGGCCCCCCAAAUGGGAACUGAGAAACGGUCAAAACCCCUACGGGGGGCAGAGGGGGGGAAUUUUGGGAAAUGGGGGAGAGCCUGAACCAGCCAAGUAGGGGGAAGGAAGCCGGCCCUAUGGGUUGAAAACUUUUUUUAUAAGGGAAAAAAGUGGGUCACGUGUGAUUUUUUGCAUGUACCUUAUAAAAAAGGACCGGCUAAUUCCG